Molecule: non-coding RNA, 530 nt
Organism: Microcebus murinus (gray mouse lemur)
Lineage: Eukaryota; Metazoa; Chordata; Mammalia; Primates; Cheirogaleidae
Source: RefSeq, a predicted model, not a curated record
UGAGGAACAGUGAACUGGCCCCCUGUUUAAAAAAUUUGAGGACCCCUGCGUUAGCACUUCUGAAACUAUACACUAACUUUGAUUGAACAAGACCAGAAAGUAAGGAAAUGCUCACAGAAAAAGAGAGGAUCUUGGGAGAAUGUCAAAAGGACACAGGAGUUAAGAAACUUGGCAGACAGCAGCUUAAUGAAGUUGUCAGGUCCAGCAUCUUGACGGACUGUUGUUCUGGCUCUUUGGCCCCUUCCUUGGAAGAAUCACAAGGAAGCCAGUGAGACGAAGUGAACACAAACAGGAAGCAAUUCCACACAGACAGCUUUCAUUAAAGAAGGAAGGAAGGAAGAAGAAAGCUACACAAAGUGAGCAUACAUCCAAGAGAGACAGGAAUGGGUCAGUCUCCAUGGAGUGGAGAAAGUUGUUAAGGGCUCCCAGGUGGUUUCCUCUUAUUGGCUUGGUCCAGGAGGGUUUGCAAGGGUACAGGAUGUUAACAGAUGAUUGAAAUAUGUGAUUGCCAGGUGUUCUGUGUUUUAUUA